AAAGUGAAUAGUGAAAUCCGGGGCCCAACCUCACAGGCUAUUAUUCGAACUCACUGACUCGAGAACAGCAGAGGUAACUGGAAUUUCUGAAGUAGGGGUAAUAUCCGUAGAUAUCAGAAGGAACACCAAUGGCGUAGGCAGGUUACUGGGCUGUUUCUGACACUGAGGCACGAAAGCGUGGGGAGCGAACCGGAUUAGAUACCCGGGUAGUCCACGCCGUAAACGAUGGAUACUA
Molecule: ribosomal RNA, 235 nt
Filed under: uncultured Candidatus Saccharibacteria bacterium
Lineage: Bacteria; Candidatus Saccharimonadota
Description: partial 16S ribosomal RNA
Rfam family: Bacterial small subunit ribosomal RNA
Source: RNAcentral